AACAACAAUUUAUUAGAAAAACAUGAUUGAAUAAAAACAAUGUGUCGAAUUAACCGCUCUACUCUGACUCGACGAUUGUUCUGUGGAAUUGUGGCAGUCGCCGUAAUUAUAUCAUGUGUCGCCCUUUUAAUAAUUUUGUGUUUUCGUAAAUGUCUUUAUAGAUUAGAUCUGUAUGAAGAAAUAUAUCUGGGAGUCGCCUGCUUUACACUUUUAGCUGCAAUAUGUCUUCUUUUCGGAUCGAUCUAUCAAAUCCGCAUCCUCGUGUGGAUCUGGAUCCUGAUAGUUGUCGCAGUCACAAUCACAGUCACUUCUGUAGAAAUAAUCAGGCUGUACAGGGACUGGAACUAUUUCAGUGACCUAUCAAGAACUUACAAAAUAAUAUUUCUAAUAAUUUUUGCAUUUUCAAUGUUGUGUUUGGUUUACGAGACUAUUAUGUAUGCCUUAAAUGUGAAAAAAAGUGAAGAGGAACAAAGUCGGACUGAUUGCGAUUUAAGACGUUGUUAACAGUUGAAUAUCCAUGUAUAGCAAUUUAUUUUGUAAAUCAUUCUUUGUAUUUUCCGAAAAAUAUUAAAACU
This is a long non-coding RNA of Drosophila ficusphila, 575 nucleotides long. RefSeq lists it as uncharacterized. The record is from RefSeq and is a predicted model, not a curated record. NCBI's taxonomy places the organism in Eukaryota, Metazoa, Arthropoda, Insecta, Diptera, Drosophilidae. The transcript is spliced from 3 exons.